Rhinichthys klamathensis goyatoka is the source of this 363-nucleotide long non-coding RNA. RefSeq lists it as uncharacterized. The transcript has 2 exons. The record is from RefSeq and is a predicted model, not a curated record. Lineage: Eukaryota; Metazoa; Chordata; Actinopteri; Cypriniformes; Leuciscidae.
GUCACAGUGGAAGGACUAAAACACAUUUUUACUUCCACUUCACAUGGAGAAAAAAACUGAUUCUAAAUUUUACACUACAUCAGAAAAUGGCAUCACUAAACAUCUCAAUCUUAUAUUUGUAUCAGUAUUAGAUAGCUUUAGCGUGUCUAUUAUCCUUUAGGUUAAACUAAAGAUAAGCACAGGGAACCCUUACAUUUACAAUUUACUUUUUGCAGAUGGUAUAAAAUGAAUAAAUAAAUAAAUAGCCACUGAAUGUGGAAUGUUUGUAUUGCAUGAAUAAAUAAGAUACAUGGAAGUUAAUGUACAUACAUACAAUACAAAUUCUUGUAUUUAAAAAUAAAAAAAAGUUCAAAAAAAUUGAAA